AUCGCUUCCUGGCCUUUCGGUUAAGAGCAGCUGUAGUAUCUGUUCUUAUCAGUUUAAUAUCUGAUACGUCCCCCUAUCUGGUGACCAUAUAUUAAUGGUUUUCUGAGAAUGGGGGCUGAUUCGAAACUUGCUUCCGUCACCCUAUGCAUUGACCCAAUAUGGCAGUAUCUUCGGAUACAGUGCAUCUCCC
This is a small nuclear RNA of Hyla sarda, 190 nucleotides long. RefSeq annotates it as U2 spliceosomal RNA. The transcript has a single exon. The record is from RefSeq and is a predicted model, not a curated record. NCBI's taxonomy places the organism in Eukaryota, Metazoa, Chordata, Amphibia, Anura, Hylidae.